ACUUUGAAGAGAGAGUUCAAUAGGACGUGAAGCUGCCGAGAAGUAAACGGGAAGGGCCCCGCACACCUUAGGCCGGGAGAUUCAGCGUAAUGGGAGGUAUCGGCGCCCCGUUCUGCCUCGAGACCCCUCUCGGGGGGAUUCGGCGGGAUGGGUCGAUGCAGCCGCCCUUAACGUGCAUUUCUCCCGUGCCUCCGGGGUUGGCGACCGACCGUUGCCGGCUGGUUGUGCGCGGCGAAGGCAGGUAGCUCACGCUCGCUUCGGCGGGCGAGAGAACGUAUAGUCUUGCCGUUCCGCACCGGCUGCAUGGUCGAGGAAAGAUGGCCACGAGCUGUGCCUGCCCGAUCUUCGGAUCUAGGGGCUGGAGCCGCCGGACUCCCGCUCGUGCGGCGUACGGGGACUGUACUCAGUGCCCGAGCGCCCGUGCGGUCGAGAAAGGCCGGAUCGUCUCUCAGGCGCAUGGGGUCUGCCAACUUGGCCGGGCGCCUUUUCGACCCGUCUUGAAACACGGACCAAGAAGUCUAACGGACACGCAAGUCGAAGGGUCGUAUACGAAACCCCGAGGCGCAAUGAAAGUAAAGGGCGGCGUAGGUCGUCUACGGUGGGAUCCCAGGUCUAACCACGGCCAGGGCGCACCACCGCCCCGUGUCGAACGCUUUGCUCGUUGAUGCGGAGGAAGAGCGUGCACGCUAGGACCCGAAAGAUGGUGAACUAUGCCCGAGCAGGAUGAAGCCAGAGGAAACUCUGGUGGAGGUCCG
RNAcentral lists this ribosomal RNA (755 nucleotides) under Ophiothrix oerstedii. RNAcentral describes it as "eukaryotic LSU rRNA". It matches the Rfam family "Eukaryotic large subunit ribosomal RNA", at positions 373 to 877 of the family's 3401-position model. The record is from RNAcentral. Lineage: Eukaryota; Metazoa; Echinodermata; Ophiuroidea; Amphilepidida; Ophiotrichidae.